This 253-nucleotide ribosomal RNA is filed under the name uncultured bacterium. Its description in RNAcentral is "partial 16S ribosomal RNA". It matches the Rfam family "Bacterial small subunit ribosomal RNA", at positions 524 to 776 of the family's 1533-position model. The record is from RNAcentral.
UACGAAGGGGGCUAGCGUUGUUCGGAAUCACUGGGCGUAAAGCGCACGUAGGCGGAUUCUUAAGUCAGGGGUGAAAUCCUGGAGCUCAACUCCAGAACUGCCUUUGAUACUGGGAAUCUCGAGUCCGGGAGAGGUGAGUGGAACUGCGAGUGUAGAGGUGAAAUUCGUAGAUAUUCGCAAGAACACCAGUGGCGAAGGCGGCUCACUGGCCCGGUACUGACGCUGAGGCGCGAAAGCGUGGGGAGCAAACAGG